AUCGAACGCUGGCGGCAGGCCUAACACAUGCGAGUCGAGCGGAUGAAGGGAGCUUGCUCCUGGAUUCAGCGGCGGACGGGUGAGUAAUGCCUAGGAAUCUGCCUGGUAGUGGGGGAUAACGUCCGGAAACGGGCGCUAAUACCGCAUACGUCCUGAGGGAGAAAGUGGGGGAUCUUCGGACCUCACGCUAUCAGAUGAGCCUAGGUCGGAUUAGCUAGUUGGUGGGGUAAAGGCCUACCAAGGCGACGAUCCGUAACUGGUCUGAGAGGAUGAUCAGUCACACUGGAACUGAGACACGGUCCAGACUCCUACGGGAGGCAGCAGUGGGGAAUAUUGGACAAUGGGCGAAAGCCUGAUCCAGCCAUGCCGCGUGUGUGAAGAAGGUCUUCGGAUUGUAAAGCACUUUAAGUUGGGAGGAAGGGCAGUAAGUUAAUACCUUGCUGUUUUGACGUUACCAACAGAAUAAGCACCGGCUAACUUCGUG
RNAcentral lists this ribosomal RNA (484 nucleotides) under uncultured bacterium. Its description in RNAcentral is "partial 16S ribosomal RNA". It matches the Rfam family "Bacterial small subunit ribosomal RNA", at positions 30 to 507 of the family's 1533-position model. The record is from RNAcentral.